AUUGAACGCUGGCGGCAGGCUUAACACAUGCAAGUCGAACGCGUGGCGGAGGGGUGAGUAAUGUGGGGGAAUGUCUGUUAUGGAGGGGGAACACUAGGGGAAAGUGUCGAACAUACCGCAUACCCUCGUAUGAGCACAGGUGGUAUUAGGUAGUUGGUGUGGUAAAGGCUCACAAAGCCGACGAUCUCUAGCUGGUCUGAGAGGAUGACCAGCCACACUGGAACUGAGACACGGCCCAGACUCCUACGGGAGGCAGCAGUGGGGAAUAUUGCGCAAUGGGGGCAACCUGACGCAGCCAUGCCGCGUGAAUGAAGAAGGCCUUCGGGUUGUAAAGUUCUUUCGGUAGCGAGGCGUUACCUACAGAAGAAGCACCGGCUAACUCCGUGCCAGCAGCCGCGGUAAUAC
RNAcentral lists this ribosomal RNA (405 nucleotides) under uncultured bacterium. RNAcentral describes it as "partial 16S ribosomal RNA". It matches the Rfam family "Bacterial small subunit ribosomal RNA", at positions 30 to 526 of the family's 1533-position model. The record is from RNAcentral.